UACGAAGGGGGCUAGCGUUGUUCGGAAUUACUGGGCGUAAAGGGCGCGUAGGCGGCCUGCUAAGUCGAACGUGAAAUCCCUGGGCUCAACCCAGGAACUGCGUCCGAUACUGGUUGGCUUGAAUCCGGGAGAGGGACGUGGAAUUCCAGGUGUAGCGGUGAAAUGCGUAGAUAUCUGGAGGAACACCGGUGGCGAAGGCGACGUCCUGGACCGGCAUUGACGCUGAGGCGCGAAAGCUAGGGGAGCAAACGGG
RNAcentral lists this ribosomal RNA (253 nucleotides) under uncultured bacterium. RNAcentral describes it as "partial 16S ribosomal RNA". It matches the Rfam family "Bacterial small subunit ribosomal RNA", at positions 524 to 776 of the family's 1533-position model. The record is from RNAcentral.